This is a long non-coding RNA of Dermacentor albipictus, 572 nucleotides long. RefSeq lists it as uncharacterized. The record is from RefSeq and is a predicted model, not a curated record. Lineage: Eukaryota; Metazoa; Arthropoda; Arachnida; Ixodida; Ixodidae.
UGAAAAAAAACAACAUCAACGUCAACAAACCGGACUGCUUGCCAGCGAUGAAAGGCUUUAUGCUUGAUACCAAUCAAUUUUCCUCCUAAAGCGGACCCGCACCUAUAACUGCGGACAUGUGGAAGCUUUUCGACGGGGAUUGAUGCACGUCCAGAAGGCAACGAGCUCUUUUUAGCUGGCGGCUCUUCUUGUGAAGGGUCUACCGCCACUAAUGACAUUCCUUGAGCUGGCGGGCGGAUCCUGCAGCGUUCGCCGACGAAACUUAGUCGGCGCUCCGUCAACGGGACGAUGCGGGAAGAUGUCCUGUUUAGCGAGAACGAUGGCUUGCUGGACGGCUAGAUGGCCGUAGACAAAAAAAAAAAUUCGAACCUCCUCUUGCCGUCCAUUGCCAUCUUGCGUCCAAUCACAGCCGCCAGACCUAACUACCAGAGAAAAAAAACUCGAAAUUCGCGAGACUUCUCCGCGGCUUCGAGCAUGCGAGGAAAUACGAAAAAGGACUGUCGCAGUUUUUCUUCUUUUCUUAUAUGCCAACUUCUGAUUGCGUCUAUUAUAACAACAGACAAUUCAAUGCA